GGUCCGCUGGCUCAAUGGUAGAGCGUCUGACUACGAAGCUUAGAGCCAAACAACUCUAGUGUCAGCAAUCAGGAGAUUCUAGGUUCGACCCUGGGUGGAUCG
Immersiella caudata is the source of this 102-nucleotide non-coding RNA. The record is from the annotation of a GenBank genome assembly. NCBI's taxonomy places the organism in Eukaryota, Fungi, Ascomycota, Sordariomycetes, Sordariales, Lasiosphaeriaceae.